Molecule: ribosomal RNA, 296 nt
Filed under: uncultured bacterium
Lineage: Bacteria
Description: partial 16S ribosomal RNA
Rfam family: Bacterial small subunit ribosomal RNA
Source: RNAcentral
GGAUUAGAUACCCUGGUAGUCCACGCUGUAAACUAUGAGUACUAGCUGUUAAAUUCGGUGUAAAGGAUUUAGUAGCGUAGCUAACGUGUUAAGUACUCCGCCUGGGGAAUACGAUCGCAAGAUUAAAACUCAAAGGAAUUGACGGGGACCCGCACAAGCGGUGGAGCAUGUGGUUUAAUUCGAUGCAACGCGAAAAACCUUACCUGGUCUUGACAUCCUACAAAUUUUUUAGAAAUAAAAAAGUGCCUUUUGGAAUGUAGAGACAGGUGCUGCAUGGCUGUCGUCAGCUCGUGCUG